Molecule: microRNA, 21 nt
Filed under: Picea abies (Norway spruce)
Lineage: Eukaryota; Viridiplantae; Streptophyta; Pinopsida; Pinales; Pinaceae
Description: pab-miR11423g
Source: miRBase by way of RNAcentral
CGGCCAGCAGCGUUUCGGGGC